AGUAACAUCCGGAAACGGGUGGCUAUACCGCAUAGUUUUCUUUGAUCGCAUGAUUGAGAAAGGAAAAGACGGCCUUUGUUGCUGUCGCUUAUGGAUGGACCCGCGGCGUAUUAGUUAGUUGGUGAGGUAACGGCUCACCAAGACGAUGAUACGUAGCCGACCUGAGAGGGUGAUCGGCCACAUUGGGACUGAGACACGGCCCAAACUCCUACGGGAGGCAGCAGGUAGGGAAUCUUCCGCAAUGGACGAAGUCUGACGGAGCAACGCCGCGUGAGUGAAGAAGGGUUUUUUCCGGAUCGUAAAACUCUGUUGUCAGAGAAGAACAAGUUGGAGAGUAACUGCUCCAGCCUUGACGGUAUCUGACCAGAAAGCCACGGCUAACUACGUGCCAGCCGCAGC
This 399-nucleotide ribosomal RNA is filed under the name uncultured bacterium. Its description in RNAcentral is "bacterial SSU rRNA". It matches the Rfam family "Bacterial small subunit ribosomal RNA", at positions 142 to 518 of the family's 1533-position model. The record is from RNAcentral.